GAACGAACGCUGGCGGCAGGCUUAACACAUGCAAGUCGAGCGCCCUUUUCGGAGGGAGCGGCAGACGGGUGAGUAACACGUGGGAAUCUACCCAUCUCUAGGGAAUAACUCAGGGAAACUUGUGCUAAUACCCUAUACGCCCUUUUGGGGAAAGAUUUAUCGGAGAUGGAUGAGCCCGCGUUGGAUUAGCUAGUUGGUGAGGUAAUGGCUCACCAAGGCGACGAUCCAUAGCUGGUCUGAGAGGAUGAUCAGCCACACUGGGACUGAGACACGGCCCAGACUCCUACGGGAGGCAGCAGUGGGGAAUAUUGGACAAUGGGCGCAAGCCUGAUCCAGCCAUGCCGCGUGAGUGAUGAAGGCCUUAGGGUUGUAAAGCUCUUUCACCGGUGAAGAUAAUGACGGUAGCCGGAGAAGAAGCCCCGGCUAACUUC
Molecule: ribosomal RNA, 431 nt
Filed under: Ochrobactrum sp. 'ARUP UnID 492'
Lineage: Bacteria; Pseudomonadati; Pseudomonadota; Alphaproteobacteria; Hyphomicrobiales; Brucellaceae
Description: bacterial SSU rRNA
Rfam family: Bacterial small subunit ribosomal RNA
Source: RNAcentral